UGGGGAAUUUUGGACAAUGGGCGCAAGCCUGAUCCAGCCAUGCCGCGUGCGGGAAGAAGGCCUUCGGGUUGUAAACCGCUUUUGUCAGGGAAGAAGUCUUCUGAGUUAAUACCUCGGGAGGAUGACGGUACCUGAAGAAUAAGCACCGGCUAACUACGUGCCAGCAGCCGCGGUAAUACGUAGGGGUGCAAGCGUUAACCGGAAUUACUGGGCGUAAAGCGUGCGCAGGCGGUUUUGUAAGACAGAGGUGAAAUCCCCGGGCUCAACCUGGGAACUGCCUUUGUGACUGCAAGGCUUGAGUGCGGCAGAGGGGGAUGGAAUUCCGCGUGUAGCAGUGAAAUGCGUAGAUAUGCGGAGGAAACACCGAUGGCGAAGGCAAUCCCCUGGGCCUGCACUGACGCUCAUGCACG
Molecule: ribosomal RNA, 410 nt
Filed under: uncultured bacterium
Lineage: Bacteria
Description: partial 16S ribosomal RNA
Rfam family: Bacterial small subunit ribosomal RNA
Source: RNAcentral